RNAcentral lists this ribosomal RNA (247 nucleotides) under uncultured Neisseriaceae bacterium. Its description in RNAcentral is "partial 16S ribosomal RNA". It matches the Rfam family "Bacterial small subunit ribosomal RNA", at positions 527 to 773 of the family's 1533-position model. Lineage: Bacteria; Pseudomonadati; Pseudomonadota; Betaproteobacteria; Neisseriales; Neisseriaceae. The record is from RNAcentral.
GUAGGGUGCGAGCGUUAAUCGGAAUUACUGGGCGUAAAGCGAGCGCAGACGGUUAUUUAAGUCAGGUGUGAAAUCCCCGAGCUCAACUUGGGAAUGGCGCUUGAAACUGGGUAACUAGAGUGUGUCAGAGGGGGGUAGAAUUCCACGUGUAGCAGUGAAAUGCGUAGAGAUGUGGAGGAAUACCGAUGGCGAAGGCAGCCCCCUGGGAUAACACUGACGUUCAUGCUCGAAAGCGUGGGUAGCAAAC